AUACGUAGGUGACAAGCGUUAUCCGGAUUUACUGGGCGUAAAGGGCGUGUAGGCGGUCUUGCAAGUCAGAAGUGAAAUUCCUGAGCUCAACUCGGGCGCUGCUUCUGAAACUGCAGGACUUGAGUGCUGGAGGGGAUAGCGGAAUUCCUAGUGGAGCGGUAAAAUGCGCAGAUAUUAGGAAGAACACCGGUGGCGAAGGCGGCUAUCUGGACAGUAACUGACGCUGAGGCGCGAAAGCGUGGGGAGCAAACAGGAUUAGAUUCCCUGGUAGUCCACGCCGUAAACGAUGAAUACUAGGUGUAGGGGGUAUCGACUCCCUCUGUGCCGCAGUUAACACAAUAAGUAUUCCGCCUGGGGAGUACGGCCGCAAGGUUGAAACUCAAAUGAAUUGACGUGG
RNAcentral lists this ribosomal RNA (397 nucleotides) under uncultured bacterium. RNAcentral's name for it is "partial 16S ribosomal RNA". It matches the Rfam family "Bacterial small subunit ribosomal RNA", at positions 523 to 918 of the family's 1533-position model. The record is from RNAcentral.